Molecule: ribosomal RNA, 316 nt
Filed under: uncultured Synechococcus sp.
Lineage: Bacteria; Bacillati; Cyanobacteriota; Cyanophyceae; Synechococcales; Synechococcaceae
Description: bacterial SSU rRNA
Rfam family: Bacterial small subunit ribosomal RNA
Source: RNAcentral
GCCUCUGGGCUGUAAACCUCUUUUAUCAAGGAAGAAGAUCUGACGGUACUUGAUGAAUAAGCCACGGCUAAUUCCGUGCCAGCAGCCGCGGUAAUACGGGAGUGGCAAGCGUUAUCCGGAAUUAUUGGGCGUAAAGCGUCCGCAGGCGGCCCUUCAAGUCUGCUGUUAAAACGUGGAGCUUAACUCCAUCAUGGCAGUGGAAACUUCUGGACUUGAGUGUGGUAGGGGCAGAGGGAAUUCCCGGUGUAGCGGUGAAAUGCGUAGAUAUCGGGAAGAACACCAGUGGCGAAGGCGCUCUGCUGGGCCAUAACUGACG